AAAACAUACAACCCACGAAUUAAAACAAAAGCUCCUCAAUCCAGCAUACAAGUCUAAUCCAGAGAUCCAAAGUAAAAGCUACAACACAAGUAAGAGCAAUGAGGCAUUCAGGAAGGCAGCGACACAAAGUUCCAUGUCUUUAGAAGUGGGUAAAGACUUCUAAAGUGCUAUUUACCAAAGUAGACCUCCAAGAACUUAACAAUUAAAAAACUUUCCAUCAAAUACACUAAAAUCAAUAUUAUAGAGCCAAUGUUGGGAGAUCGUCAACAUAGCACAGUUGACAUGAAAAACUCUCUCUAUUGAGUCCUUACCUGUAUUCAGAGAAAAACCAACAAGACUAUAUAUAGAACCCACUCGAAAGUAAGGAGAGAGAUACCGCUCUCCUAGUAAGAAAAGAUAUCGUCCUCAUCUAGUUGAGUUCUGAGACAACUGACUGCUUUGAUAGGAAUGAAGGACUAAGCCUUGAAAGAAAAA
Molecule: unclassified non-coding RNA, 474 nt
Filed under: Hevea brasiliensis (rubber tree)
Lineage: Eukaryota; Viridiplantae; Streptophyta; Magnoliopsida; Malpighiales; Euphorbiaceae
Source: RNAcentral